AUAUAACGUUGUAGAUUUUCCCUGGUAGUAGUAAGCAACAUUCCGCGUAUUUAAACGAUCUGAAGCAUCUGUUUACCAGUGAACUUCUGGAGGAGUUUGACUGUAUCCGUCUUUGGCUCCAUCUGCUCCGGACUGCCAUCCUCCACGAACAUGAGGUGACUGAGACCAAGAGAGGCAAGCGAAAUCUGUGGCUGUUACAGAGAGAGGUUGGCCGUGGCUGGACCCAGAUGUCUGAGCUUUUCGUCAGCAAUGAUCACCACCCCAGCGUGCGCAACUCACUCAUCGAUAUCCACAACGCCGUCACCACGGCCGCCGCUCACUACAGGCUUUCGCGACUUCUCCCACCACCCAUCUUCGUCCAAGGAGAACUGGUCCCCCCGGCUCUGCCCCCAAAAGCCGGGAAGCUCAGGCGUUUCUUCACCAGUGUCCGUACAAGACUGGCAACUGUUGUCUCCAAACACAAAGUGAAACCCACAAACGUUCCUGUUGUCAAAUGCCGUGUAAAAGACACUUCUGGACACAAGUCCGUCUUUGUUCGUGUUGUGCAAUGUGUCAGGAACAUCACAGGAAGCAAGAACCAGAUUCUCCCUGUGUGAAAGAAUACACAUGUAUUGUAAAACCUAUUUUGAUGUCCGUUUAUUGAAUGUGAUUUGUUUGAACUUGUACAUAUUAUCUGACGCUAUACAUCUUUGUAAAUCACGAAACUGUAAUUCAUUCACUCUAAAAGAAUAUACAAAUCCUGUUUUGCUUGUAAUGUGCUAUUUCUCAAAAGCAUUGCCAUUUCACCAUUCCUUUAACCUAUGUCUCUU
This 809-nucleotide unclassified non-coding RNA is filed under the name Haliotis rubra (blacklip abalone). Its description in RNAcentral is "uncharacterized LOC124259412, transcript variant X2". Lineage: Eukaryota; Metazoa; Mollusca; Gastropoda; Lepetellida; Haliotidae. The record is from RNAcentral.